Long non-coding RNA from Megalopta genalis, 314 nucleotides. RefSeq lists it as uncharacterized. Lineage: Eukaryota; Metazoa; Arthropoda; Insecta; Hymenoptera; Halictidae. The record is from RefSeq and is a predicted model, not a curated record.
UCUCGUAGUGACCUCCGGCUCGUUGACGUCGGCGCUCUCGCGAUUUGCCAAUUGUCUAAUGCUCCCUCCCGCCUUGGAAUGCCAUCCGAGCCGGGUUCGAGAAGUGGCCGGCUCUUUUUCUCCGCGCCUCGGCCCUUUUAUUCCGCGGAAUAUUCACCGGAUUAAGACACCGACACUGGCACGCGACCGUCGUCGCUGGCCAAUCAAUGGACGUUAUCCGGCAAAACGAGAAAGACACAGCCUUCAAAUAUUUUUCGUAGCUCGAGCCAAGUAAUGUAUCGCCGAGACGGCGCAAUAAAAAAUAAUUAUUAACA